This 458-nucleotide ribosomal RNA is filed under the name uncultured bacterium. RNAcentral's name for it is "partial 16S ribosomal RNA". It matches the Rfam family "Bacterial small subunit ribosomal RNA", at positions 338 to 795 of the family's 1533-position model. The record is from RNAcentral.
CCUACGGGAGGCAGCAGUGAGGAAUAUUGGUCAAUGGUCGCGAGCCUGAACCAGCCAAGUAGCGUGAAGGAUGACUGCCCUACGGGUUGUAAACUUCUUUUAUCAAGGAAUCAAGUUAGGCACGUGUGCCUUUUUGUAUGUACUUUAUGAAUAAGGAUCGGCUAACUCCGUGCCAGCAGCCGCGGUAAUCCGGGGGAUCCGAGCGUUAUCCGGAUUUAUGGGGUUAAAAGGGAGCGUAGAGGGGUUGUUAAGUCAGUUGUGAAAGGUUGCGGCGCAACCGGAAAAUGGCAAUUGAGACUGGAAGUCGUGAGUACAGGUGAGGUAGGGGGAAGGAGGGGUGGAGCGGGGAAAUGAUUAGAUCUCACGAAGAACGCCGAGUGAGAAGGCAGCUCAGUAAACUGACACUGACACUGAUGCUAGAAAGUGUGGGUAUCAAAGAGGAUGAGAUACCUGUAGUC